Molecule: ribosomal RNA, 704 nt
Filed under: uncultured Alteromonas sp.
Lineage: Bacteria; Pseudomonadati; Pseudomonadota; Gammaproteobacteria; Alteromonadales; Alteromonadaceae
Description: bacterial SSU rRNA
Rfam family: Bacterial small subunit ribosomal RNA
Source: RNAcentral
GCUGACGAGUGGCGGACGGGUGAGUAAUGCUUGGGAACUUGCCUUUGCGAGGGGGAUAACAGUUGGAAACGACUGCUAAUACCGCAUAAUGUCUUCGGACCAAACGGGGCUUAGGCUCCGGCGCAAAGAGAGGCCCAAGUGAGAUUAGCUAGUUGGUGGGGUAAAGGCUCACCAAGGCGACGAUCUCUAGCUGUUCUGAGAGGAAGAUCAGCCACACUGGGAUUGAGACACGGCCCAGACUCCUACGGGAGGCAGCAGUGGGGAAUAUUGCACAAUGGGGGAAACCCUGAUGCAGCCAUGCCGCGUGUGUGAAGAAGGCCUUCGGGUUGUAAAGCACUUUCAGUUGUGAGGAAAGAUUGGUAGUUAAUACCUGCCAGUUGUGACGUUAGCAACAGAAGAAGCACCGGCUAACUCCGUGCCAGCAGCCGCGGUAAUACGGAGGGUGCAAGCGUUAAUCGGAAUUACUGGGCGUAAAGCGCACGCAGGCGGUUUGUUAAGCUAGAUGUGAAAGCCCCGGGCUCAACCUGGGAUGGCCAUUUAGAACUGGCAGACUAGAGUCUUGGAGAGGGGAGUGGAAUUCCAGGUGUAGCGGUGAAAUGCGUAGAUAUCUGGAGGAACAUCAGUGGCGAAGGCGACUCCCUGGCCAAAGACUGACGCUCAUGUGCGAAAGUGUGGGUAGCGAACAGGAUUAGAUACCCUGGUAG